Molecule: ribosomal RNA, 50 nt
Filed under: Nannospalax galili (Upper Galilee mountains blind mole rat)
Lineage: Eukaryota; Metazoa; Chordata; Mammalia; Rodentia; Spalacidae
Source: RNAcentral
CACCCAGAACAGGCCCAAUCUCUUCUGAUCUUGGAAGCUAAGCAGGGUUG